This 86-nucleotide microRNA precursor is filed under the name Columba livia (rock pigeon). RNAcentral's name for it is "microRNA cli-mir-551a precursor". Its record names the gene cli-mir-551a. The stretch from base 8 to 80 matches the Rfam family "mir-551 microRNA precursor family". Lineage: Eukaryota; Metazoa; Chordata; Aves; Columbiformes; Columbidae. The record is from miRBase by way of RNAcentral.
CUGUGCGUGACCUUGGAAAUCAAGUGUAGGUGGAGCCUGUGGCAGCGAUCAAGGCGACCCACACUUGGUUUCAAGGGUCCGCAGGG